Molecule: ribosomal RNA, 468 nt
Filed under: uncultured bacterium
Lineage: Bacteria
Description: partial 16S ribosomal RNA
Rfam family: Bacterial small subunit ribosomal RNA
Source: RNAcentral
UCCUCCCUCUUUCUUCGUGCUUCCCCCCUGCACGUCGACCGGAAAGGCCCUGCUUUUGUGGGGUGCUCGAGUGGCGAACGGGUGAGUAACACGUGAGUAACCUGCCCUUGACUUUAGGAUAACUUCAGGAAACUGGGGCUAAUACCGGAUAGGAGCUCCUGCUGCUUGGUGGGGGUUGGAAAGUUUAGGCGGUUGGGGAUGGACUCGCGGCUUAUCAGCUUGUUGGUGGGGUAGUGGCUUACCAAGGCUUUGAAGGGUAGCCGGCCUGAGAGGGUGACCGGCCACAUUGGGACUGAGAUACGGCCCAGACUCCUCCGGGAGGCAGCAGUGGGGAAUAUUGCACAAUGGGCGGAAGCCUGAUGCAGCAACGCCGCGUGCGGUAUGACGGCCGUCGGGUUGUAAACCGCUUUCGCCUGUGACGAAGCGUGAGUGACGGUAAUGGGUAAAGAAGCACCGGCUAACUACGUG